AUUGAACGCUGGCGGCAGGCCUAACACAUGCAAGUCGAGCGAGCGGCGGACGGGUGAGUAAUGUCUGGGAAACUGACUGAUGGAGGGGGAUAACUACUGGAAACGGUAGCUAAUACCGCAUACCAUCAGAUGUGCCCAGAUGGGAUUAGCUAGUAGGUGGGGUAAUGGCUCACCUAGGCGACGAUCCCUAGCUGGUCUGAGAGGAGGACCAGCCAGACGGGAACUGAGACACGGUCCAGACGCCUACGGGAGGCAGCGGUGGGGAAGAUUGCACAAGGGGCGCAAGCCUGAUGCAGCCCUGCCGCGUGUGUGAAGAAGGGCGUCGGGUUGUAAAGCACUUUCAGCGGGGAGGCGUUACCCGCAGAAGAAGCACCGGCUAACUCCGUGCCAGCAGCCGCGGUAAUAC
RNAcentral lists this ribosomal RNA (406 nucleotides) under uncultured bacterium. RNAcentral describes it as "partial 16S ribosomal RNA". It matches the Rfam family "Bacterial small subunit ribosomal RNA", at positions 29 to 526 of the family's 1533-position model. The record is from RNAcentral.